UCCAGGGAGAAAAAUAAAAGGAAGCCAUAGA
RNAcentral lists this non-coding RNA (31 nucleotides) under Homo sapiens (human). The record is from RNAcentral. Lineage: Eukaryota; Metazoa; Chordata; Mammalia; Primates; Hominidae.